Molecule: ribosomal RNA, 274 nt
Filed under: uncultured bacterium
Lineage: Bacteria
Description: partial 16S ribosomal RNA
Rfam family: Bacterial small subunit ribosomal RNA
Source: RNAcentral
AUACGGAGGGUGCAAGCGUUAAUCGGAAUUACUGGGCGUAAAGCGCGCGUAGGUGGUAAGUUAAGUUGGGUGUGAAAUCCCUGGGCUCAACCCGGGAACUGCAUUCAAAACUGGCUCACUAGAGUAUGGCAGAGGAGAGUGGAAUUCCAGGUGUAGCGGUGAAAUGCGUAGAGAUCUGGAGGAACAUCAGUGGCGAAGGCGACUUUCUGGGCUAAUACUGACACUGAGGUGCGAAAGCGUGGGGAGCAAACAGGAUUAGAAACCCUAGUAGUCC